AUGGCACUGGGAUGCUCU
This 18-nucleotide small nuclear RNA is filed under the name Arabidopsis thaliana (thale cress). RNAcentral describes it as "snRNA_07739". The record is from RNAcentral. Lineage: Eukaryota; Viridiplantae; Streptophyta; Magnoliopsida; Brassicales; Brassicaceae.